This 253-nucleotide ribosomal RNA is filed under the name uncultured bacterium. Its description in RNAcentral is "partial 16S ribosomal RNA". It matches the Rfam family "Bacterial small subunit ribosomal RNA", at positions 524 to 776 of the family's 1533-position model. The record is from RNAcentral.
UACAGAGGUCUCAAGCGUUGUUCGGAUUCAUUGGGCGUAAAGGGUGCGUAGGUGGUGGGGUAAGUCAGGUGUGAAAUCUCGGGGCUCAACCCCGAAACUGCACUUGAUACUGCCUUGCUCGAGUACUGGAGAGGAGAUUGGAAUUUACGGUGUAGCAGUGAAAUGCGUAGAUAUCGUAAGGAAGACCAGUGGCGAAGGCGAAUCUCUGGACAGUUACUGACACUGAGGCACGAAGGCCAGGGGAGCAAACGGG